UCUUAUGGAUGAGGAAAGAGAGCUGUUUUUUGAGGUGGAAACUCUUCCUGGUGAAGAUUCUGUGAA
This 66-nucleotide microRNA precursor is filed under the name Marmota monax (woodchuck). The record is from RNAcentral. Lineage: Eukaryota; Metazoa; Chordata; Mammalia; Rodentia; Sciuridae.